Molecule: ribosomal RNA, 515 nt
Filed under: uncultured bacterium
Lineage: Bacteria
Description: partial 16S ribosomal RNA
Rfam family: Bacterial small subunit ribosomal RNA
Source: RNAcentral
GAUGAACGCUGGCGGCGUGCCUAAUACAUGCAAGUCGAGCGAAUGGAUUAAGAGCUUGCUCUUAUGAAGUUAGCGGCGGACGGGUGAGUAACACGUGGGUAACCUGCCCAUAAGACUGGGAUAAAUCCGGGAAACCGGGGCUAAUACCGGAUAAUAUUUUGAACUGCAUGGUUCAAAAUUGAAAGGCGGCGUCGGCUGUCACUUAUGGAUGGUCCCGGGUCGCAUUAGAUAGUUGGGAAGGUACCGGCUCACCAAGGCCACGAGGCGUAGCCGACCUGAGAGGGUGAUCGGCCACACUGGGACUGAGCCACGGCCCAGACUCCUACGGGAGGCAGCAGUAGGGAAUCUUCCGCAAUGGACGAAAGUCUGACGGAGCAACGCCGCGUGAGUGAUGAAGGCUUUCGGGUCGUAAAACUCUGUUGUUAGGGAAGAACAAGUGCUAGUUGAAUAAGCUGGCACCUUGACGGUACCUAACCAGAAAGCCACGGCUAACUACGUGCCAGCAGCCGCCGUAA